Molecule: ribosomal RNA, 466 nt
Filed under: uncultured bacterium
Lineage: Bacteria
Description: bacterial SSU rRNA
Rfam family: Bacterial small subunit ribosomal RNA
Source: RNAcentral
CCUACGGGCGGCUGCAGUGGGGAAUCUUGGGCAAUGGGCGAAAGCCUGACCCAGCGACGCCGCGUGGAGGAAGAAGGCCUUCGGGUCGUAAACUCCUGUUUGGGGAGAAGAACAAGAGAGAAGUUAAUAGCUUCUCUCUCUGACGGUAUCCCCGGAGAAAGCUCCGGCUAAUUACGUGCCAGCAGCCGCGGUAAUACGUAAGGAGCGAGCGUUGUCCGGAUUUACUGGGCGUAAAGGGCUCGUAGGUGGUUUCUUAGGUCUCACGUGAAAUUCCCUGGCUCAACCAGGGAGGGUCGUGGGAAACCGAGAGGCUAGAGGGCAGGAGAGGAGAGUGGAAUUCCCGGUGUAGCGGUGAAAUGCGUAGAGAUCGGGAGGAACACCAGUGGUGAAGACGGCUCUCUGGACUGUCCCUGACACUGAGGAGCGAAAGCCAGGGGAGCAAACCGGAUUAGAUACCCGUGUAGUC